This 1043-nucleotide ribosomal RNA is filed under the name uncultured bacterium. RNAcentral's name for it is "bacterial SSU rRNA". It matches the Rfam family "Bacterial small subunit ribosomal RNA", at positions 422 to 1476 of the family's 1533-position model. The record is from RNAcentral.
GGUGUAAACCUCUUUCAGCAGGGAAGAAGCGAAAGUGACGGUACCUGCAGAAGAAGCGCCGGCUAACUACGUGCCAGCAGCCGCGGUAAUACGUAGGGCGCAAGCGUUGUCCGGGAAUUAUUGGGCGUAAAGAGCUCGUAGGCGGUUUGUCGCGUCUGCUGUGAAAACUGAGGCUCAACCUCGGGCUUGCAGUGGGUACGGGCAGACUAGAGUGCGGUAGGGGUGACUGGAAUUCCUGGUGUAGCGGUGGAAUGCGCAGAUAUCAGGAGGAACACCGAUGGCGAAGGCAGGUCACUGGGCCGCAACUGACGCUGAGGAGCGAAAGCAUGGGGAGCGAACAGGAUUAGAUACCCUGGUAGUCCAUGCCGUAAACGUUGGGCACUAGGUGUGGGGCUCAUUCCACGAGUUCCGUGCCGCAGCAAACGCAUUAAGUGCCCCGCCUGGGGAGUACGGCCGCAAGGCUAAAACUCAAAGAAAUUGACGGGGGCCCACACAAGCGGCGGAGCAUGCGGAUUAAUUCGAUGCAACGCGAAGAACCUUACCAAGGCUUGACAUACACCGGAAAAGUGCAGAGAUGUGCUCCCCGCAAGGUCGGUGUACAGGUGGUGCAUGGUUGUCGUCAGCUCGUGUCGUGAGAUGUUGGGUUAAGUCCCGCAACGAGCGCAACCCUCGUCCUAUGUUGCCAGCGGGUCAUGCCGGGGACUCAUAGGAGACUGCCGGGGUCAACUCGGAGGAAGGUGGGGAUGACGUCAAAUCAUCAUGCCCCUUAUGUCUUGGGCUUCACGCAUGCUACAAUGGCCGGUACAAAGGGCUGCGAUACCGCGAGGUGGAGCGAAUCCCAAAAAGCCGGUCUCAGUUCGGAUUGGGGUCUGCAACUCGACCCCAUGAAGUCGGAGUCGCUAGUAAUCGCAGAUCAGCAACGCUGCGGUGAAUACGUUCCCGGGCCUUGUACACACCGCCCGUCAAGUCACGAAAGUCGGUAACACCCGAAGCCGGUGGCCCAACCCUUACGGGGGGGAGCCGUCGAAGGUGGACUAGCGAUG